RNAcentral lists this long non-coding RNA (2045 nucleotides) under Lathyrus oleraceus (garden pea). RNAcentral's name for it is "Pisum sativum (pea) long non-coding RNA (PSAT_LNC032921)". The record is from RNAcentral. Lineage: Eukaryota; Viridiplantae; Streptophyta; Magnoliopsida; Fabales; Fabaceae.
UUUGCUAAUAUUAGCAAAAUAUUUUAUUUCCUUUUAUUUCCAUUCAUCUUAUCAUUUAUAUAUACAUACAUGAUUUUGUUAAAUUGAUUUUCCAUUAGCAUAAUAUUUUGUUUCCUUUUAUUUCCAUUCAUCUUAUUAUUUAUAUAUACAUACAUGAUUUUGUUAAAUGGAUUUUCCUAAUACCUGAGUAUAUUUAUAUACUAUCUUAAGAAUUAUGGUUAGUCAAGUGACUAGCAUUGACUAACCUUAACUCUAUUGACUAUCUCUAUAAGAUAAGAACCUUGGAAAAAGAAAAAACAAAACGAACAGCAGAAAAGAAGAUAAGAUAAGAAUAAAUUCACAAAAAUUUUCUUCUGAUUCCUCCUAGCCAGAUACGAAAGUUUUUUAGCAUAAUAUUUUAUUUCCUUUUAUUUCAAUGGAUCUUAUCAUUUAUAUAUACAUGAUUUUUUUAAAUGCAUUUUGCUAAUAUUAGCAGAAUAUUUUAUUUCCUUUUAUUUCCAUUCAUCUUAUCAUUUAUAUAUACAUACAUGAUUUUGUUAAAUGGAUUUUCCAUUAGCAUAAUAUUUUGUUUCCUUUUAUUUCCAUUCAUCUUAUUAUUUAUAUGUACAUACAUGAUUUUGUUAAAUGGAUUUUCCUAAUACCUGAGUAUAUUUAUAUACUAUCUUAAGAAUUACGGUUAGUCAAGUGACUAGCAUUGACUAACCUUAACUCUAUUGACUAUCUCUAUAAGAUGAGAACCUUGGAAAAAGAAAAAACAAAACGAACAGCAGAAAAGAAGAUAAGAUAAGAAUAAAUUCACAAAAUACCGUGUCCUUAUUUUGACACAAAGUAGCUGACAAUCAGAACAAAGAAAAUAGCCAAAUAGCAAACCAAAAUAUAGUGCAAAAAUAAGGUAUAAUUCCAAAAAAAGGACAAAAAGAAAAUGACAAAGCACGAACAAGCCAUAUUUAGAUUUUACGAGAAUACUAUAGACGAAUGCCUUAAUGAAGAACCAACCAAAGAAGAUAGAAUUGCCAGAAGUGAAAAGAACGCAUAAAAUGGAGAAGUAUUUUCAUUAUUUUUCUGAUUCCUCUUAGAACCUUCUGAAUUUUUUUGAUUUGAACUCCUAGAAAAUUCUCAAUUUUUUUGAUUUGAGCUGCUAGAAAAUUAUGAAUGUUUUUGCUUUGAGCUCAUAGAAAAUUAUGAAUUGAAAUGAAAAUUGAAAUCAAAAGGGAAAUCAAAAUCGAAAUGAAAAAGAUUCUAAUUGUUCCUAUUAAUCUUAACCAGUCAGAAAGAAGGAGAAAAAAAUAAUGCAAAAUUAAAUAAGGUAUAAUUCCAAAAUAAGGACAAAAAGAAAAUGACAAAGCACGAACAAGCCAUAUUUAGAUUUUACGAGAAUACUAUAGACGAAUGCCUUAAUGAAGAACCAACCAAAGAAGAUAGAAUUGCUAGAAGUGAAAAGAACGCAUAAAAUGAAGAAGUAUUUUCAUUAUUUUUCUGAUUCCUCUUAGAACCUUCUGAAUUUUUUUGAUUUGAACUCCUAGAAAAUUCUCAAUUUUUUUGAUUUGAGCUGCUAGAGAAUUAUGAAUGUUUUUGCUUUGAGCUCCUAGAAAAUUAUGAAUUGAAAUGAAAAUUGAAAUCAAAAGGGAAAUCAAAAUCGAAAUGAAAAAGAUUCUAAUUGUUCCUAUUAAUCUUAACCAGUCAGAAACAAGGAGAAAAAAAUAAUGCAAAAUUAAUAACAACAUAGAUACAGUUUGCAUACGAAUAUAAAAAAAUAGCUUAAUAAAGAACCAAAGAAUAUAGAAUCGCGAGAAUUUAAUAGGACUCAUAAAAUUCUGAAUUUUAUUUAAUUUCUUUUGAUUCUUCCUAUUGUCCUAUUGUUUUUAUUUGAUUCUUCGUAGCGUCGUGAUAAUGUUGUCCAUUCGAUCCUCCUAUUGUGAUCUAUUUUGAAUUAAUUGUAAAUGUGCAUGAACAUUAUGAAUAAUAUGAAACUAGAAAAAGUAUUCACAAUGUGUUUUUUUUUAAUCCAUCAAAAAUGAGAUAGAAUAGCUUCAACCUUGUCAACC